This 31-nucleotide ribosomal RNA is filed under the name Amanita aff. princeps HKAS 75787. Its description in RNAcentral is "partial 28S ribosomal RNA". The record is from RNAcentral. RNAcentral also lists the same sequence under 1 other name. Lineage: Eukaryota; Fungi; Basidiomycota; Agaricomycetes; Agaricales; Amanitaceae.
UGACCUCAAAUCAGGUAGGAUUACCCGCUGA